GAGUCGUAACAAGGUUUCCGUAGGUGAACCUGCGGAAGGAUCAUUAGAGAACUGUACCAAAACAAUAUGGACAAUCCAUCCAUAUUAUCCCACCUUGUGUGCAUCCAUUGAAAUCAUGCUUUGGGAGGUCCCUCUUAAAAAAUGGAGAGGGAUUUUUAAAUGAAGAACGCAG
This 172-nucleotide unclassified non-coding RNA is filed under the name fungal sp. RNAcentral describes it as "partial internal transcribed spacer region". The stretch from base 1 to 46 matches the Rfam family "Eukaryotic small subunit ribosomal RNA", at positions 1786 to 1831 of the family's 1831-position model. The record is from RNAcentral. Lineage: Eukaryota; Fungi.